GCCCCUAUAGCUCAGUCGGCAGAGCAGCGGACUUUUAAUCCGUGGGUCGCGGGUUCGAGCCCCGCUGGGGGCACCA
Molecule: transfer RNA, 76 nt
Filed under: Propionibacteriaceae bacterium
Lineage: Bacteria; Bacillati; Actinomycetota; Actinomycetes; Propionibacteriales; Propionibacteriaceae
Description: tRNA-Lys
Rfam family: tRNA
About the family: Transfer RNA (tRNA) molecules are approximately 80 nucleotides in length.
Source: RNAcentral